GGUCAUGGCUCAGAGGUAGAGCACAUGCCUAGCCUGCGUGAGGCACUGGGUUCAAUUCUCAGCACCA
This 67-nucleotide transfer RNA is filed under the name Marmota monax (woodchuck). RNAcentral's name for it is "tRNA.Ala". The record is from RNAcentral. Lineage: Eukaryota; Metazoa; Chordata; Mammalia; Rodentia; Sciuridae.